RNAcentral lists this non-coding RNA (29 nucleotides) under Mus musculus (house mouse). Lineage: Eukaryota; Metazoa; Chordata; Mammalia; Rodentia; Muridae. The record is from RNAcentral.
UAAAAAGCAAAGGGAAUUACAACACAGAA